GUUUAUAUUGGGCGCUUCAGUACAAUACAUCUGUCCUUUCUGAUAAAAGUGGCAAUAUAUCUAAUAACUCUUGAAAUUGAUCGAUACUCAUAGCAGUUUAUAAGAAAGCUUGAACUCGUAAGUAUAAAUAUAAUUUUUAAAACAUUUCAUAAACGUAUAGUAAAUCUUUGCAUGCACGUAUGGAUGCAUACGUAUACGUAGAAAAGGUGGCUCUCAAUUGUUAUUAACGUAACACCUAGUAAUACCUAGUUUUGGUCCGCCGUUAGAUCAUUUCUGUCAUACAUGGCAAUGACGGAAAGAAUAUCGUCGUAUAUUACAGUUGAUGAGUUGAAGCUAAGGUAUGCUCAGUCAUGCCUUUGCAAUUGGUCACUGGACCUUUUGGAUAAAUUCUAUAUAACUGAUGUUGUAUUGCGUUGCUCCUAAAUUAAUUAAACCCUAGAAAAUUGACGUUGAUCAUGACCAUGCAGAAUGAUUUGGUAGGAUCGAAAGAAAAAACGUCUGGUCUCAAACAACGGCUCUCAAACAACGGGCCUCAAACAACUGGUCUCAAACAACUUCUCCCAUGCAUAUAUCUUAUAUCCCCCAAAUGUAUUUAACCUUUUAGAUCAUACCAAAUACCGCUGAGGUUCUUCGAUUCUGGGGAAUGUGGCAUUUUGAGUUACGUUUGUAUCUUCCUGAAAUCUGAUCAAAUAUCGUUGUAGUAAUUACUAAAGAAUUUAAAACGUC
This 726-nucleotide long non-coding RNA is filed under the name Paramuricea clavata. The record is from RNAcentral. Lineage: Eukaryota; Metazoa; Cnidaria; Anthozoa; Malacalcyonacea; Plexauridae.